AGCAGGGUUGGCUUUUCCCAGAGUCUGCAAGAUUUUCAGUGUGUCCCCGAGAGGGGUUGGAGUUUUUUUCUUCCCUUUUUAAGCUCCAUCUCAGUCUUUGGAGAGGCUUCAGAGGAAGAAGCAAUCUGAAAUACGUUACGCGUGCAUGGCUUGAUGAAUUUCAGAUGCUCGCCUUUCAUUUUGUCUCUCACUGACAAGUUGGGGUCCUGAACCGGGAGUGUAUAACGUGACUGUCAUCAAGGCUGAGAUAGCACAGAGGCUAGCAGGUAAUCAGGUUUCCCAGUAGUGGGGAGAAGCAAGGCAAAUCCCUCAGUCUGCCCUGGAGCCCAACCCACCUCUGCCCUACUGAAGAGUGGUGGGAAGCCAAGGAAGAUGAUGCCAUCUCCCACCUGUGAGCCUCUCCCUUCUGCUGUGCAAGGUAACAGUCCCAGCCUGAUGAUCUCCCGUGAUAAGUGGCUUUUAUUCCUCUUUUCAUUUCCGCUGUCCAUUUAAGUCCUUGUGGUGCAGCCAUGACUACUUCUUCGCUUGAUACUAAAUAUGACAAGAGCCAUCCUAUGACCCCAGGAACGUCUUGAUAAUAGAGGACGUCCUUUCUCUAUUAAGAAACUUAAAGAAGAUGGAGAGAAGCCCUUUAUUCUCUUUCCUGUCAGCUUCUUAGUUUUGACAAUGUGAUCCAGAACAAAGUGGGAUUUGACCACAUGCAGGUGUGAGGCAACAUUAAUCUUGGCUGAUGG
This 734-nucleotide long non-coding RNA is filed under the name Struthio camelus australis. RNAcentral describes it as "lncRNA (ENSSCUG00000011706.1)". Lineage: Eukaryota; Metazoa; Chordata; Aves; Struthioniformes; Struthionidae. The record is from RNAcentral.